Molecule: ribosomal RNA, 451 nt
Filed under: uncultured bacterium
Lineage: Bacteria
Description: partial 16S ribosomal RNA
Rfam family: Bacterial small subunit ribosomal RNA
Source: RNAcentral
GUGGGGAAUAUUGGACAAUGGGCGAAAGCCUGAUCCAGCCAUGCCGCGUGUGUGAAGAAGGUCUUCGGAUUGUAAAGCACUUUAAGCGAGGAGGAGGCUACCGAGAUUAAUACUCUUGGAUAGUGGACGUUACUCGCAGAAUAAGCACCGGCUAACUCUGUGCCAGCAGCCGCGGUAAUACAGAGGGUGCAAGCGUUAAUCGGAUUUACUGGGCGUAAAGCGCGCGUAGGUGGCCAAUUAAGUCAAAUGUGAAAUCCCCGAGCUUAACUUGGGAAUUGCAUUCGAUACUGGUUGGCUAGAGUAUGGGAGAGGAUGGUAGAAUUCCAGGUGUAGCGGUGAAAUGCGUAGAGAUCUGGAGGAAUACCGAUGGCGAAGGCAGCCAUCUGGCCUAAUACUGACACUGAGGUGCGAAAGCAUGGGGAGCAAACAGGAUUAGAUACCCUUGUAGUCC